CCUACGGGUGGCAGCAGUGGGGAAUAUUGCACAAUGGGGGAAACCCUGAUGCAGCGACGCCGCGUGUGUGAAGAAGUAAUUCGUUAUGUAAAGCUCUAUCAGCAGGGAAGAAAAUGACGGUACCUGAGUAAGAAGCCCCGGCUAACUACGUGCCAGCAGCCGCGGGAAUACGUAGGGGGCAAGCGUUAUCCGGAUUUACUGGGGGGAAAGGGAGCGUAGACGGCAGGGCAAGUCUGGUGUGAAAGGCCGGGGCUCAACCCCCGGCCUGCUCUGGAAACUGGACGGCUGGAGGGCAGGAGAGGGAAGUGGAAUUUCUAGUGGAGCGGGGAAAUGCGGAGAUAAUAGGAGGAACACCAGUGGCGAAGGCGGCUUACUGGACUGUAACUGACGUUGAGGCUCGAAAGCGUGGGGAGCAAACAGGAUUAGAUACCCCAGUAGUC
Molecule: ribosomal RNA, 440 nt
Filed under: uncultured bacterium
Lineage: Bacteria
Description: partial 16S ribosomal RNA
Rfam family: Bacterial small subunit ribosomal RNA
Source: RNAcentral